Molecule: ribosomal RNA, 493 nt
Filed under: uncultured bacterium
Lineage: Bacteria
Description: partial 16S ribosomal RNA
Rfam family: Bacterial small subunit ribosomal RNA
Source: RNAcentral
GACGAACGCUGGCGGCGCGCUUAACACAUGCAAGUCGAACGGAAAGGCCUGCUUUCCCUUGUGGAUUGCGGGUACUCGAGUGGCGAACGGGUGAGUAACACGUGAGUGAUCUGCCCCCAACUUGGGUAUAAGCCUGGGAAACUGGGUCUAAUUCCCGAUAGGACUGCAGGGUGGUGCCUGUGGUGGAAAACGAUUUUCUAGUGGUUGGGGAUGAGCUCGCGGCCUAUCAGCUUGUUGGUGGGGUAACGGCCUACCAAGGCGGCGACGGGUAGCCGGCCUGAGAGGGUGGACGGCCACAUUGGGACUGAGAUACGGCCCAGACUCCUACGGGAGGCAGCAGUGGGGAAUAUUGCACAAUGGGCGGAAGCCUGAUGCAGCGACGCCGCGUGGGGGAUGACGGCCUUCGGGUUGUAAACUCCUUUCGACCGCGAGGAAGCCACCUGGUUGGAAGGGUGGUGACGGUAGUGGUAGAAGAAGCACCGGCUAACUACGU